GAUGAACGCUGGCGGCGUGCCUAAUACAUGCAAGUCGAGCGAACGGACGAGAAGCUUGCUUCUCUGAUGUUAGCGGCGGACGGGUGAGUAACACGUGGAUAACCUACCUAUAAGACUGGGAUAACUUCGGGAAACCGGAGCUAAUACCGGAUAAUAUUUUGAACCGCAUGGUUCAAAAGUGAAAGACGGUCUUGCCGUCACUUAUAGAUGGAUCCGCGCUGCAUUAGCUAGUUGGUAAGGUAACGGCUUACCAAGGCAACGAUGCAUAGCCGACCUGAGAGGAUGAUCGGCCACACUGGAACUGAGACACGGUCCAGACUCCUACGGGAGGCAGCAGUAGGGAAUCUUCUGCAAUGGGCGAAAGCCUGACGGAGCAACGCCGCGUGAGUGAUGAAGGUCUUCGGAUCGUAAAACUCUGUUAUUAGGGAAGAACAUAUGUGUAAGUAACUGUGCACAUCUUGACGGUACCUAAUCAGAAAGCCACGGCUAACUACGUG
This 497-nucleotide ribosomal RNA is filed under the name uncultured bacterium. RNAcentral describes it as "partial 16S ribosomal RNA". It matches the Rfam family "Bacterial small subunit ribosomal RNA", at positions 28 to 507 of the family's 1533-position model. The record is from RNAcentral.